RNAcentral lists this transfer RNA (87 nucleotides) under Tepidimonas alkaliphilus. Its description in RNAcentral is "tRNA-Ala". Lineage: Bacteria; Pseudomonadati; Pseudomonadota; Betaproteobacteria; Burkholderiales. The record is from RNAcentral.
ACGCGCGCCAGCACGGCGGCCAUCCACGCGGCGCUGGCGUCGCCGCAGGCGCACGACGAACGCGCGUUGCAGCGCGCCCGCGCGUUC